GGCCUCAAAUCAGACAAGAGUACCCGCUGAACUUAAGCAUAUCAAUAAGCGGAGGAAAAGAAACUAACAGGGAUUCCCCUAGUAACGGCGAGUGAAGCGGGAACAGCUCAAAUUUUAAAUCUGGCUGCUUUGUAGUCCGAGUUGUAAUUUGAAGGAGUCUUGCCGCUGGCAAAACGAUGGCACAAGUCCUCUGGAACGGGGCAUCGUAGAGGGUGAGAAUCCCGUCUCUGGUCAUCACGCGCUGGCAUACGGCAGGCAUCCGAAGAGUCGAGUUGUUUGGGAUUGCAGCUCCAAAUGGGUGGUAAACUCCAUCUAAGGCUAAAUAUUGGCGAGAGACCGAUAGCGAACAAGUACCGUGAGGGAAAGAUGAAAAGAACUUUGAAAAGAGAGUAAAACAGUACGUGAAAUUGUUGAAAGGGAAACGAUUGAAG
RNAcentral lists this ribosomal RNA (431 nucleotides) under uncultured Paraglomus. Its description in RNAcentral is "eukaryotic LSU rRNA". It matches the Rfam family "Eukaryotic large subunit ribosomal RNA", at positions 1 to 428 of the family's 3401-position model. The record is from RNAcentral. Lineage: Eukaryota; Fungi; Glomeromycota; Glomeromycetes; Paraglomerales; Paraglomeraceae.